ACAGCAGUAGCCGCGGUAAUACGUAGGGUGCGAGCGUUAAUCGGAAUUACUGGGCGUAAAGCGUGCGCAGGCGGUUGUGUAAGACAGGUGUGAAAUCCCCGGGCUUAACCUGGGAACUGCGCUUGUGACUGCACAGCUAGAGUAUGGCAGAGGGGGGUGGAAUUCCACGUGUAGCAGUGAAAUGCGUAGAGAUGUGGAGGAACACCGAUGGCGAAGGCAGCCCCCUGGGCCAAUACUGACGCUCAUGCACGAAAGCGUGGGGAGCAAACAGGAUUAGAUACCCCUGUAGUCCCUGUCUCUUAUAC
RNAcentral lists this ribosomal RNA (305 nucleotides) under uncultured bacterium. RNAcentral's name for it is "partial 16S ribosomal RNA". It matches the Rfam family "Bacterial small subunit ribosomal RNA", at positions 506 to 807 of the family's 1533-position model. The record is from RNAcentral.